AGCAGGUACACAACACACAGCAGGUACACAACACACAGCAGGUACACAACACACAGCAUGUACACAACAACACAGCAGGUACACAACACAGACACACAACACACAGCAGGUACACAACACACAGCAGGUACACAAUAACACAGCAGGUACACAACACAGGUACACAACACAGAUACACAACACACAGCAGGUACACAACAACACAGCAGGUACACAACACAGAUACACAACACACAGCACGUACACAACACAGUCACGCAACACACAGCAGGUACACAACACAGACACACAACACAGCAGGUACACAACACACAGCAGUUACAAAACACAGACACACAACACACAGUAAGUACACAACAUAGACACACAACACACAGCAGGUAAACAACACAGACACACAACAACACAGCAGGUACACAACACAGACACACAACACACAGCAGGUACACAACACAGACACACAACACAGACACGCAACACACAGCAGGUACACAACACAGACACACAACACACAGCAGGUACACAACACACAGCAGGUACACAACACACAGCAGGUACACAACACACAGCAGGUACACAACACACAGCAUGUACACAACAACACAGCAGGUACACAACACAGACACACAACACACAGCAGGUACACAACACACAGCAGGUACACAAUAACACAGCAGGUACACAACACAGGUACACAACACAGAUACACAACACACAGCAGGUACACAACAACACAGCAGGUACACAGAUACACAACACACAGCAGGUACACAACAACACAGCAGGUACACAACACAGAUACACAACACACAGCACGUACACAACACAGUCACGCAACACACAGCAGGUACACAACACAGACACACAACACAGCAGGUACACAACACACAGCAGGUACAAAACACAGACACACAACACACAGUAAGUACACAACAUAGACACACAACACACA
Pleuronectes platessa (European plaice) is the source of this 952-nucleotide long non-coding RNA. RefSeq lists it as uncharacterized. The record is from RefSeq and is a predicted model, not a curated record. The transcript is spliced from 2 exons. Lineage: Eukaryota; Metazoa; Chordata; Actinopteri; Pleuronectiformes; Pleuronectidae.